Molecule: ribosomal RNA, 253 nt
Filed under: uncultured bacterium
Lineage: Bacteria
Description: partial 16S ribosomal RNA
Rfam family: Bacterial small subunit ribosomal RNA
Source: RNAcentral
GACGUAGGUUCCGAGCGUUAUCCGGAUUUACUGGGCGUAAAGCGCGUUCAGGCGGUUUGGCAAGUCGGGCAUGAAAUCUCUCGGCUCAACCGGGAGAGGUUGUCCGAUACUGUCAGACUGGAGGGCAGUAGAGGGUGGUGGAAUUCCGGGUGUAGUGGUGAAAUGCGUAGAGAUCCGGAGGAACACCAGUGGCGAAAGCGGCCACCUGGACUGCACCUGACGCUGAAACGCGAAAGCUAGGGGAGCGAACGGG